Danio rerio (zebrafish) is the source of this 570-nucleotide non-coding RNA. The record is from the annotation of a RefSeq genome assembly. NCBI's taxonomy places the organism in Eukaryota, Metazoa, Chordata, Actinopteri, Cypriniformes, Danionidae.
AUGUCCAUAUGUUUUGUAUCACUGUGGUACACUUUCGGCGGCGGCACCAAACUGGAUGUUGGCACCGUCUCUCCUCCUCAAGUGAGCGUCCUGUCGCCCUCCAGUGCAGAGAUCUCCUCCAAGCGGGCGGCUACACUGCUGUGUGUGGCCAACAAGGGCUUCCCGUCAGACUGGAGGCUGGUCUGGAAGGUGUCGGGCAGCAGCGGGGGUCAGGAGAGCAGCAGUGCUGGGCUCCUGGAGAAGGACGGUCUGUACAGCUGGAGCAGCAGCCUGACUCUCUCUGAGCAGCAGUGGAUGGAGAGCGUCUCAGUGAGCUGUGAGGCCACACGGAGCGGCCAGCCUGCGCACACUGCAGAAUACACUGUGACGAGACAGCAGUGUUCAGAGUAGACCUGCAGCACACACACACACCACAUCUGUGUGUCUUUACUCACAUUCACUGCACUUUCAGUCUCUCAGUGUGCUCUGCUCUGCUUUCUGUCUUUCACACCAGACUAAAUGUGUGGAGUUUCUUAUUCUGUCAUCAUUUGAUUGUAAUUCAGUCAAUAAAUAAAGCUGUAAGUGUCUGUC